UCUGCUAAAGAGGAGGAAGGGAAUGGGCAACGGUAGGUCAGCAUGCCCCGAAUUAUCCGGGCUACACGCGGGCUACAAUGGUCAGGACAAUGGGUAUCGACACCGGAGAGGCGGAGGCAAUCUCCUAAACCUGUCCUUAGUUCGGAUUGUGGGCUGCAACUCGCCCACAUGAAGCUGGAAUCCGUAGUAAUCGCGUUUCAAAAUAGCGCGGUGAAUAUGUCCCUGCUCCUU
RNAcentral lists this ribosomal RNA (231 nucleotides) under uncultured Methanolinea sp. Its description in RNAcentral is "partial 16S ribosomal RNA". It matches the Rfam family "Archaeal small subunit ribosomal RNA", at positions 1110 to 1338 of the family's 1478-position model. Lineage: Archaea; Methanobacteriati; Methanobacteriota; Methanomicrobia; Methanomicrobiales; Methanoregulaceae. The record is from RNAcentral.